UUGUGAAAAGCAGCAGAAGCAAAGAAGGAUGAGAGUGUGCUUGUACACAUAAGAGAUAAGGACUGUGUAGCUCUUGAGGUCUCCUAUCACAGAACCUGCUAUGCAUCAUACACACAAUUCUUGACAAGAUCUAAAUCAGAAAGGGCUGGCUACUUGAAGGACAAAUUGAGAAAGGACUUUCCCCAACUUCAAUUUCACCGCCCAUUCAGGAAAAACCUAAGUAGAAUUGUUUUCACAGAAUGCCUCUCUGUCAUGGAUGAUAUGGUCCCAGAGUCUGAAACAGAAAACAGUAGUAGUGUAGAGACAGAUUCAACUGAGCAAGCUGAAGAUGAUGAAGGACUGAGGAUGACAUCAAGCACUGUUACUGAUGUUAACGAUGUUAAUGGUGCCUCUGAUGAUGACUCAGAAACAGAGUAGACCCAAUUUCAUACCCAUCAUGUUAAUGAAUAUUGCCAUAUUGUCUUUUUUCAUAAUAUAAAUAUGUUACCUGUGUCCUGAAAUUGAAAUGUGAUGAUUAAAAUCUAAUGAUAUGUA
Molecule: long non-coding RNA, 534 nt
Organism: Fundulus heteroclitus (mummichog)
Lineage: Eukaryota; Metazoa; Chordata; Actinopteri; Cyprinodontiformes; Fundulidae
Exons: 2
Source: RefSeq, a predicted model, not a curated record